Molecule: ribosomal RNA, 207 nt
Filed under: uncultured bacterium
Lineage: Bacteria
Description: partial 16S ribosomal RNA
Rfam family: Bacterial small subunit ribosomal RNA
Source: RNAcentral
CGUGUAGGCGGUUUGUUAAGUCUGGUGUGAAAGCCCUGGGCUCAACCUGGGAAUUGCGAUGGAAACUGGGCGACUAGAGUGUGGCAGAGGGUAGUGGAAUUCCUGGUGUAGCAGUGAAAUGCGUAGAGAUUAGGAAGAACACCAGUGGCGAAGGCGACUUACUGGACUGUAACUGACGCUGAGGCACGAAAGCGUGGGUAGCGAACA